Molecule: non-coding RNA, 1609 nt
Organism: Chrysemys picta bellii (western painted turtle)
Lineage: Eukaryota; Metazoa; Chordata; Testudines; Emydidae
Source: RefSeq, a predicted model, not a curated record
CUAAAUUUGUUCUGAAAGAAAGUUCCUGCUAAAGACACAGAUCAUAUUUAUUACAAACUGAUUGCUUGGCAAACAGCCCUGGGAACUGCUGGGUGACAGUGACUGAAGGCAGUGCAGUCAUCAAUGGAAGAUCACUGUGGAUACGUUGGAGGAACCUGAGACAGAGAAUUCUGCUGUGAACAGCACGGAGGAGGACGGGGCAGACAUGGCAGGGGUCCAGCCAUGCCACAAGUCAGGACCUGUUCAAGACUCCAUCACAGUCUAGUCACUCCUGCCAACCAAGCAAGAAGAGUGCGAUGAAGGGGAAGGGACCUUGGGGGGAAAAAAAAUCUGUGUUACUCUUGGAAAGACAAGGGAGGGAACCUGAAGUGUCACGCAGCUAGCUGCCAGAAACAUAUAUGCAGCCCAGUUGGCAAAGAGCAAAUGAUUGGUCCUGCCUGUCAGCUCCAUGUGUUUCCUGGUCUUUAUUCUCUGUAGUGUUACCACAUGUCACAGAAUAAGUAACAAAGCAUUAACCGUAAUUGCAGGCUUCCCACUAAAAUAAAAACACAGAAAACAGCUCUGCAAUUUAAUAUUUGUAACAAAUUAUGAAAAGAUGACUCGGUGCUCCUGAAUAAAUGCUGAAAUUCACCAGCUAACUCAUUAAGGCUUCUGUUCUGGGGGGGGAGGGGGGAAGGAAGCCAGGACUGAGGCCACUUAGAUGAUGUCAUGUGGUAGACAGCACUUAAAAGCCAUAUGGGGAACAUAGGAUGGAAGUUUUCUCUCCUGAUUCUGGCUCCCACAAAAGGGUCCAGAGAUUAUUCCUCAGAUCCUAUGUGACUAGAGCUGCAGAGCUAUUGUACCAUGGGGCAACACACAUAUUCUCCAUAUUUCAAUAUAUAUGAAAAACCUUAAACCCUUGGCACACACACAUGAUGGAGUCUCUGGGCUGUUAUCUGGUGGAUUCUCUCAAAGAUAGACACAUGAUUUUCCAAAAGAAUAUGCAGUUUCUGGAAAAAUCAGAAUUUUCAACAGAAAAUUUUUAUUUUGCCAACAAUUUUCAAUUUUCCAUCAUACAAGGGCCUGUGACCCAGUUACUCUAACCCUGCCUGGAUUUCCAGUUGUUAUUGGUCUAAGCUAGUCUGGUUUUUAAACUUACUGGAGAUGGGCUGAGGAGGAGGCAGUGUCCAUAUCUAGAUCCGGAUGAGGUUCCAGAUGGGGGUUUGAUAAUGUAAAAAUCUUCUAAGCUGUUCAUGGGAGAUUUCAGCUGCAGCAGAAUCUAAGCCAGAAAACAGGCCUCUUGGAACCAAAGCUACAGUGCAGGGAUUGGAACCCCAUUCCUCCAGAGACUCAUUGAAGGUUGUACUUUUGGAUGCGUGUCUAAAACUCCCACCUCCAAAGAAGAAAGAAAAACAAGUGUGUACAAGGCAUAAGGUUAAAUUGUUUAUUCCCCACAUCUGCCUGGAUUCUUAGUGUGGCUAUCCCCACUAUUAUUAAUAUGAUUUACCUCAUUCUGGGUUGGAGUCAGCCAUGAUUUUUUCUUGAAUUUAAAAUAAAACAAAAACAACGGAAUUAAAUCAUGUUGUCAAUAAAUAUAUUUUGUCUCAUUAAAACUUACAGUUUAUUUUAA